This 223-nucleotide long non-coding RNA is filed under the name Hordeum vulgare. RNAcentral describes it as "long non-coding RNA (HVUL_LNC019615)". The record is from RNAcentral. Lineage: Eukaryota; Viridiplantae; Streptophyta; Magnoliopsida; Poales; Poaceae.
CUUCUUGUUCUUCUUAUUCUUCUUGUUCUUCCACUUCUUCUUCUUGUUCUUCUUGUUCUUGUUCUUGUUCUUGUUCUUCUUCUUCUUCUUCCACUUCUUCUUCUAAUUGCUUAGCUUAAUUUAGAUAACAUCUUUCUUAUUGUAUUCUUCUUCUAACUUCUUUCUCGUUAUGCAGAUUUUGAUAAAGCAGCAUGGCAUAUGGAUGGAUGCUCGAGGGACUUUG